Molecule: ribosomal RNA, 648 nt
Filed under: uncultured Bacillota bacterium
Lineage: Bacteria; Bacillati; Bacillota
Description: bacterial SSU rRNA
Rfam family: Bacterial small subunit ribosomal RNA
Source: RNAcentral
CCUAGCCAACGAUGGAUAGGGGUUCUGAGAGGAAGGUCCCCCACAUUGGAACUGAGACACGGUCCAAACUCCUACGGGAGGCAGCAGUGAGGAAUAUUGGUCAAUGGACGAGAGUCUGAACCAGCCAAGUAGCGUGAAGGAUGAAGGUCCUACGGAUUGUAAACUUCUUUUAUAAGGGAAUAAACCCUCCCACGUGUGGGAGCUUGUAUGUACCUUAUGAAUAAGCAUCGGCUAACUCCGUGCCAGCAGCCGCGGUAAUACGGAGGAUGCGAGCGUUAUCCGGAUUUAUUGGGUUUAAAGGGAGCGCAGACGGGUCGUUAAGUCAGCUGUGAAAGUUUGGGGCUCAACCUUAAAAUUGCAGUUGAUACUGGCGUCCUUGAGUGCGGUUGAGGUGUGCGGAAUUCGUGGUGUAGCGGUGAAAUGCUUAGAUAUCACGAAGAACUCCGAUUGCGAAGGCAGCACACUAAUCCGUAACUGACGUUCAUGCUCGAAAGUGUGGGUAUCAAACAGGAUUAGAUACCCUGGUAGUCCACACGGUAAACGAUGGAUACUCGCUGUUGGCGAUAUACUGUCAGCGGCUUAGCGAAAGCGUUAAGUAUCCCACCUGGGGAGUACGCCGGCAACGGUGCAACUCAAAGGAAUUGACGG